CGCCUUGCCAGCCCGCUCAGAAACUCAAAUGAAUUGACGGGGGCCCGCACAAGCGGUGGAGCAUGUGGUUUAAUUCGAUGAUACGCGAGGAACCUUACCUGGGCUUAAAUGAGAAACGACAGUUUUGGAAACAAGACCUUCUUCGGACGGUUCUCAAGGUGCUGCAUGGUUGUCGUCAGCUCGUGCUGUGAGGUGUCGGGUUAAGUCCCAUAACGAGCGCAACCCCUAUCUUUAGUUGCCAGCGAGUAAUGUCGGGGACUCUAGAGAAACUGCCGGUGCAAACCGUGAGGAAGGUGGGGAUGACGUCAAAUCAUCACGGCCCUUACGUCCAGGGCUACACACGUGCUACAAUGGCGGAUACAAAGGGCAGCUACUAGGUGACUAGAUGCUAAUCUCUAAAGUCCGUCUCAGUUCGGAUCGAAGUCUGCAACUCGACUUCGUGAAGCUGGAAUCGCUAGUAAUCGCGCAUCAGCCAUGGCGCGGUGAAUACGUUCCCGGGCCUU
This 503-nucleotide ribosomal RNA is filed under the name uncultured Owenweeksia sp. Its description in RNAcentral is "bacterial SSU rRNA". It matches the Rfam family "Bacterial small subunit ribosomal RNA", at positions 903 to 1382 of the family's 1533-position model. Lineage: Bacteria; Pseudomonadati; Bacteroidota; Flavobacteriia; Flavobacteriales; Owenweeksiaceae. The record is from RNAcentral.